Molecule: ribosomal RNA, 301 nt
Filed under: uncultured bacterium
Lineage: Bacteria
Description: partial 16S ribosomal RNA
Rfam family: Bacterial small subunit ribosomal RNA
Source: RNAcentral
CAGUCGCCGCGGUAAUACGUAGGGUGCAAGCGUUGUCCGGAAUUAUUGGGCGUAAAGAGCUCGUAGGCGGUGUGUCACGUCGGCUGUGAAAACCUGGGGCUCAACCCUGGGCCUGCAGCCGAUACGGGCAGACUAGAGUUCGGCAGGGGAGACUGGAAUUCCUGGUGUAGCGGUGAAAUGCGCAGAUAUCAGGAGGAACACCGGUGGCGAAGGCGGGUCUCUGGGCCGAUACUGACGCUCAGGUGCGAAAGCGUGGGGAGCAAACAGGAUUAGAUACCCCCGUAGUCCCUGUCUCUUAUAA